GCGCCCUUAGCUAAAUGGAUAUAGCGUUCGGCUCCGGACCGGAAGGCUGCGGGUUCGAUCCCCGCAGGGCGCA
This 73-nucleotide transfer RNA is filed under the name Bacillota bacterium. Its description in RNAcentral is "Firmicutes bacterium (gut metagenome) tRNA-Arg". It matches the Rfam family "tRNA". From Rfam's summary of the family: Transfer RNA (tRNA) molecules are approximately 80 nucleotides in length. Their secondary structure includes four short double-helical elements and three loops (D, anti-codon, and T loops). The record is from RNAcentral. RNAcentral also lists the same sequence under 1 other name. Lineage: Bacteria; Bacillati; Bacillota.